AUUAUUAAAAAUAAGAUUAAUUUGAAAUUAAUUGGAUGGACCUGUUUCUAAUAAU
RNAcentral lists this transfer RNA (55 nucleotides) under Romanomermis culicivorax. RNAcentral's name for it is "tRNA-Ser". Lineage: Eukaryota; Metazoa; Nematoda; Enoplea; Mermithida; Mermithidae. The record is from RNAcentral.